This 2580-nucleotide long non-coding RNA is filed under the name Pavo cristatus (Indian peafowl). Its description in RNAcentral is "lncRNA (ENSPSTG00000007221.1)". The record is from RNAcentral. Lineage: Eukaryota; Metazoa; Chordata; Aves; Galliformes; Phasianidae.
AUGCCAUCGAUGGAACAAGGGAAAACAGUUUGCCAAAGGGAACUCAAUAGCAGCAAGUAUCUUCUGCCAAAAUAUCUUGAUGCUGGGACUGGACCAGGAAACUCACAUGGGUCCUGUUCUGCUCGGGCUGAAGUCAAAGGCUCUGGAGAUAUAUGUACCAUUGCUCUCUCCUGUACUUAUCCUAGAAGGAGAAUCUCAUCUGGGAAUCACUUUCCUUGCCUCUUACACCACCUCAGAACAGCUCCUGCUUUGUGUCUCGUAGCGAGGCUGGAACUCAGCAGCCAUAAUUUGGAGUGACAGAUGAGCAAGUUAGUUCAUGAAGGGAGGAAAAAACUCCUGAAAAAUGAGAAAAUAAAUAUAAGAGCUUGCAAUCAUGUCAGAAGGGCCAGAAGUGGUGUCUUGAAAUAACUAAUUUUGUAUUUCACUAGUCCUGGGUGUAUCUGGGGAGAGAAAUCAGGGACAGGCUAUAGUCAAGCAUGAGAGAGCAAACAUGGGCUCUGGGGAUGUUUACAAUAGGAAAUGAAACUCCAGCAUCACUGUGUUGCAAUGAGAACUAGCACAUUUGGAGCUUGAAUGUGUCUUUCAAUGUCUGUAAGUAUACAGAUGACUAUAUUUAGCUCUGGAAAUAAACACAAGUAGUCUGAUAGCUUUAAACGUGUCAGAUUUAGCGCAUCAGACAGUAAGAACCCUUGGAAGAAGCAAGUGUAACAUUAAGACUGAUGCUGACUUUUGGUGUGAAGCUUAGAAGAGACCUGGCAAGUCUAACACACAAGGUGAUGGGCUACCAGGCAAGGACUGCUGGGCUAUUUCCAGCAAUGCUGCACAUUUGUGGUCUGACCUCAGGCAAGCCAUUCGAUUUCCCCGUGCAUUUUGAUUUGCUCUCUCUGCAUUAGAAGCUCUUUGCUUCUUUUGGCAGCUUCAGAGGCUCUUGGCAAGUGAUGUCCCCACCCCACCUCGCCACAUGCUGCAGGACAGCUCUUCAGUGUGCACUGAAACAAGGGCAAGAUUCAGCCAGGGUUACUCUUGCUGCAGCAUUCUCUCUGUAACAGCCCUACUGCAGAUGCUGGAGCAUUAAGAAGCCACCUUAUGUACCUACUGAAUAUGUGACGUCAUUUAAGUGACUGAUAGAUUUCAUGGAAUGGCACCAACCUGUUCCAAAACAGGUGUAAUGUACACAUUUUAGUCAUUUUAAUGCUAAUAAGAAGUAAAUAAAAUGCUACACUGAAGUUGUUGUAAGCCAUUCAGAUGUGGUCUAAAGCAGAAAGAAACGCUGACAAAGACUUCAUUGCAGUAGUGUCCAAUACCUCCCUGGGCAGUUAUGAGGUUCUCUUCAGUGAACAAACAUGUUUUUAUGUUCUGCUGGCAUUUAUUUUUAUGCAAUGUAUGAAGACAGGAAGACAAAAUGUCAUCAGGUUUUUUUUUUCCUUCAGCUUUCAAAAAGUAAAAGGAAAUCCCACGACAGCCACUGAAACUACAUAGAUUCUGGAUGAUUCAGAAUGCAGAAAACAAACUUGAGUGUGACAUGAAACAGUACAACAUUCAAGUGGGUUCUCUAAGAGUCAUUUUUCACCUGUAACUUUGUAUUCUGUUAUACCCAGGAAUGUUCAUGGGUUUGAAUUUACCCUAGCUUUUGCAUCUUUAUGCCUGUUCCUAUAUAUCUGGAUGAUACAGUAGGUGCCCUUUCAGCUGAGGGGAGCAUCCUCAGUGAUAACAAUAUGAUAUCCUUGUCUCGUGCAGCCUUCCUCUGCUCUUCAGCAAUUCUCCUGUUUCCUGAAUGUUUAGACUUAUUUUCUGCCAAAAUCUCCAUCACACCUAUGACUUGAAGGUCUUUGCUGUGGUCUGACAUGAGAUCUUUGUGAAAUACCACCCAGCGAGAUCUAAAUACCACACUCCUAACUUGCAUAAAAUUUCUGCUUAUGUCAAUGGAAGUUUUGCUAAGUGAGGCUGCCAGCUUUGACCAUGGAUUUGCAGCAUAGAGUACGCCGCAGUCUCUCAGAAUGUUCAACACUACCCCGUGUGAUCUGGGAGACAGCUUGCACAGAGAUGUCUUACAGGAGAAAGUUUACCAGCCUGUUACUGGGACAGGGGAGGAGAAAUGCUGAUUGAGGUAAAAAGAAAGACCCCUGUCCCUUCAGGAAGAGACGGCAAAGGGUGUCAUGUUUCUUUUGGCACUGCAGUGCUACCGAAUUACAUCUGCUCUUCAAACGUUUUCCAGAGGGAGCCUUGCUAGACACCACCACUUACCCUCAAGAUGCAAAACCCUCCAGCACACACAGCCUCAUUUCAUCGCCCCAUGACCGCGGUAUAACGCAGCCCGCAGCCGGGGCUCCCAGCCGCCCCGCGACGAGCGGCACCACCUGUCCACGCUCCCCCCCGCCCCGCACCUGGGGCCGCCGCGCCGCUCCCCUCGCCCUCCCGCUGCUGCGGGGCAGCUCCGCUCCCGAAGCCGCGCGUGGCCGAGCCGGGGUCGGGGCCGUCCCGCCCCGUGGCCGCGUUUGCUGAUGUAAUCGCAACAGAGAGCGCUGAAACCCAACACCGCGCGGUGCGGAGCAGCGCGGCUCCGCUGCCGGGGGCUCCGCG